AUUCUUUAAAGGCCCCAGUAUUCUAAUCUGCUGUCAAGAUUGAGAAGUAGUGCUUUAGAAUCACCCAAGGAGCUUUUUAAAAAUGUGAACAGCACUUCCACUGGAACCCUUCCCUCUCCCUCUUCGUGAAGAUGCCCGAGGGCAGUGAUUAUUGGAAUCAGAGCCAGAUCGGCCCCCCAGCCUGGUUCACUAGCCAGAGCAGACUCCAAAAGUGGAAUUGCUGCGUCAAGAGGAAUUGGCUUAUAAAUUUAGACAGAUACUGACCAAAAAAUUCUUUGAAGUGCAUCCCAGUUUGCAUUCCUAACUGUGGGGAAGAGAGUUUUUUUCAUCACACUUUCACCCACACAGGUAAAUCUUUAAAAUUUUUGCUAUCGAAGAAUGGAUAAAUGGGAUCCCACUGUAGCUUUCAUUCGUAUUUCCCUGAUGAGUAGCGAGGUUGAAUCCUUUUCAUUCAUUUAUUUAAAAAUAUUUACAAUUCACCUGAUUUGCCAGAUUAUACUUAUUGGGGGUAAAUCCUUAGACUUAGUAAGCCUCAGUUUCCUCCUUUAUAAAAUGGCGCUAUAAUAUCUCCCAAGGUUGUGAGGAUUAGAUACGAUUUCAUGAAUAUACAGCGCCUAGUAUAGGACUUGGUAUGCAGCACGCGUUCCAGAAAUGUUUGCCUUUGAAACCCACGAAGGAGCCCACCCUCCUGCCGCCCAGCAGCCCUGAGCCCCGGGCGGUUCAUUCAACUGGAGGGCGAGGGCGGGCGGUGGGUGGUAAUUAAGGCCCGGCGGU
Molecule: long non-coding RNA, 774 nt
Filed under: Equus caballus (horse)
Lineage: Eukaryota; Metazoa; Chordata; Mammalia; Perissodactyla; Equidae
Description: lncRNA (ENSECAG00000057422.1)
Source: RNAcentral